Tachysurus fulvidraco (yellow catfish) is the source of this 2589-nucleotide long non-coding RNA. RefSeq lists it as uncharacterized. The transcript is spliced from 2 exons. NCBI's taxonomy places the organism in Eukaryota, Metazoa, Chordata, Actinopteri, Siluriformes, Bagridae. The record is from RefSeq and is a predicted model, not a curated record.
UAAACUAAUAACUUACUAUUGCUUUCUGCCAAAACCCUAAGCUGACCCGAGAUGCAAAUGCUUCAUGUAUGUUAAAAUGUUCAUGAUAUGUAAUCUAUUACCUUAAUAGAAUAGAAUCUGAAUUUGUGCUACACCUUGGCUUUAUGGAAACCCCAAAUAUUCCCAAAGGCCGGUAUGCUGGGGUGCCAAUACUUUUGGAGGCGAGCGUACACGAGCAUAUGAUGUCAACCGAAUACCUGUGACGCAAUUCAUCUCAUUGUGCUGAGUGUUUUGAUAUGUCACAUGUCAAUGUUGUGGAAAGUUUUUUGAUUUUGCAUAUUUGGGGGUGGGGCUUCAGGAAAACUGAAAGGCCAGUCGGUACACCAAUUUAAAACUUUGUCCAGAGUAACUUCCUAAAGAAGCUGGCCGAGUCUAGUGUAGAUAGCUAAAACCUUGCCGAGUUAUAAACCUCUAAAAUUUAUAAUGGGUGUCUAUGCCAAAAAAAAGGCCAAUUUGGAUCACUUAGAAAAGUAACAGCAACCAACUUCAGCCAAAGUUCUACGACAUUCCCAAUUUUGGUGCAUGUGGCUCGAAAGCCCUAGGAGGAGUAGCAGUUAUGCUGGGUUGCAGAAGGUUUAUAGGCUUGUAGAAGACUUUUCUACAUUUGCUUUUAGAAUCGGAAUACCAGCAUUCCCGGUACGGAAUCUCAAAGUGGCUUAUUUUUACAUAGGACCCCAUUCAAAGGUUUGGAGGUUUAUAACUCUGCAAGCUUUAGAGCGAUUUACACCAACUUGGUCAGCUUCUUUAGGACUUUACUCUGGACGAAGUUCUAAUUCGGGGUACGGAUGGACUUCGGUUUUCCCAUAGUGGGCGAUCGAGCAUCCCAAAAAUGCCAUAGACUUGAAUGCGGAAUUCUUAAAAUUCCUCUAAGCUCUCAUACAUGCUACAUGCGCAGAGCUCAGGCACCAUUUCUCUAGUGCUCUCCUAGUCACUGUAGAUGUAAAGGAGACUCUGAACAGAUGUACCUAUCCACUCCACACUUUUCCAGAUUCCAAAAUUUGGAACAAAUUCGACAUGAAGAAUUGCAUGUACUGUGAUAUAAUGAGAAUCCCAUAAUGACUGCAGAAUUAACAUGAAAUGUCCAAACCCUCACUAGCCACCUUUCUCCAAAAGUAUUGGCACCCCACCGUGUAUUCUGGUUACAUCACUCGACACCACGUGACGUCACAUGCAGCCCCGUCCCCAACAUUAAAAGGCAUCACAGAAUUACUACGACAUGGACAUGUGAUCUAAACACUCAGCACAAUGAGGGGAACUGCCUCGUGGGUAUUCUGCUGACAUCACGUGACAUGUAUUCUGCUCAUAUUUUGGGUCCAAAAAUGGUAAUCCCGAUGCCCUCUCAAACCUACACUCCCCAGAAGAAUUUAGCACCAAAGUCCUUCCCAUGUCAGUGACUGUUCGCAUUCUUCAACUGGACAUCAAGAGGAGGGUCUGACAGGCCACAUCUGGGCAAACCACUCCCAGCAAUUUCCUGAAAACCGACUUUUUGUUCCUAACAAUCUGUGCUCCCAGGAUCUCCAGGGGUGUCAUAGUUCGCCUCUGUUUUGUCACCCCAGUGUGUCCUGCAACUUGGCUACCAUUCAGCAGUGUUUCUGGUGGCCCAUCCUCCGCCAGGACAUCCGCCAGUUUGUGGGGGCAUGCACCGCCUGUGCCCAACACCAGAGUUCUAAUCACAACUCCACAAAGCCACAGGCAUAUCUCCGUUUAAAGCCUCUUAUGGCUUACCAACAACCUCUUAUUUCAUCCGAAGAAUUGAAGCUUCGGUCCCCUCUGCUAUCAACCCUAGUCAAGCGUUGUCGUCAAAAAGUCGUCACGGAAAAGAGCCUAUGAGGUUCUUCUUAGGUCCUCUCAGAACUAUGACAAUAAGCGGUGCGAUGAAGAUUUUGGACCUCCACUGAGAUGAGGCCGACUCUGUGAGAAUCCUGAGGCAUCUACAGAUCUACCAGCUCCAGUUAGACUCUGCGAUACUAAACAGGAGAUACCGACUCCAUGCAGUCUUUUGCAUCAAUACAACAUUUGUCAGACUGUAUAUUUAUAAGCACACACCCCAGUGUCACCCAUAUGAGGAUGGGUUCCCCGUUGAGUCUGGUUCCUCUCAAGGUUUCUUCCUUCCGUUCAAGGGAGUUUUUCCUUGCCACUGCUGCCUGAGUCACCUCAGACUUGCUCAUUGGGGAUAAAUACAUACACAUUUAAAUAUAUCUAAUUUUAAUCUUGAAUUUUGUAUUAUAAUUAUAAUGCCAAUGUUUUUGUUAAUGCUCCAUGGGACUUUGUUUCUCGCAUGUAAACAAAGCAAAGUGUUGUAAGUGCCAUAACAUCAGCGUUCACUAAUGAUUAUUAGCCUUGUCACAGAUCACCAGUUUCUCCUAAAAAGAAAAAGAAUGUGUCUACUACUACCACUUGGACAUUAUAUAGAUUAAUUCACCACUGUGAGUCUAUUUUCUAUGGUAUUUCUUUUAACACGUGCUAGUUAUUUCAGUUAUUUCAUGUUAAUUUGGUCUUAAUACAAUUUAAUUCAAUAAAACUGUAGUAUAGACGUGAGCUAAGGAUAAA